Molecule: microRNA precursor, 207 nt
Organism: Oryza sativa Indica Group (long-grained rice)
Lineage: Eukaryota; Viridiplantae; Streptophyta; Magnoliopsida; Poales; Poaceae
Rfam family: MIR812 microRNA precursor family
Source: Rfam
AAUAAGUGCAGCCGUGGAUAUCCGUGUCCAACGUUUGACCGUCCGUCUUAUUUGAAAAAUUUGUGAAAAAUUUACAAAUAUUUAGUCACACAUAAAGUAUUAUUCAUGUUUUAUCAUCUAAUAGCAAUAAAAAUACUAAUCAUAAAAAAAUUCAAAUAAGACGAACGGUCAAACGUUGAACGUGAAUAGUGCAAAACUGCACUUAUU